Molecule: ribosomal RNA, 368 nt
Filed under: uncultured Glomus
Lineage: Eukaryota; Fungi; Glomeromycota; Glomeromycetes; Glomerales; Glomeraceae
Description: SSU rRNA
Rfam family: Eukaryotic small subunit ribosomal RNA
Source: RNAcentral
AGCAGCCGCGGUAAUUCCAGCUCCAAUAGCGUAUAUUAAAGUUGCUGCAGUUAAAAAGCUCGUAGUUGAAUUUCGGGACCAUCAUGUCGGUCGUGCCUCGGUACGUACUGGCAUUGUUGGUUUCUACCUUCUGACGAACCACAAUGUCAUUAAUUUGGUGUCAUGGGAAAUCAGGACUGUUACUUUGAAAAAUUAGAGUGUUUAAAGCAGGCUCGCGCUUGAAUACAUUAGCAUGGAAUAAUGAAAUAGGACGUUUGAUUCUAUUUUGUUGGUUUCUAGGAUCGACGUAAUGAUUAAUAGUGAUAGUUGGGGCAUUAGUAUUCAAUUGUCAGAGGUGAAAUUCUUGGAUUUAUUGAAGACUAACUACU